GACAACAAAUCAGUUCUUUAUUGAACAAGAACAAAACGUGGCACCAGGAGUGAACUGCGAGUGAAGCUACUGAAUCGUGCGUUGUGAAACUCGACUUGAUGGAUGGUUUGAAGCCACCGGAGCACCUGAAGCUAACAGGGAAUGUCGACAGCAACUGACACACGUUUAAGCAGCAGUGUCGUCUGUGUACUGAAGCCAUGGGACUGGAUUCGAAGCCGGAGGCCAGAAAGAUGUCUUCUGAGGUUUUGGUGUACUGCCAUUCACAUACAAGAUUCAGCAAAAAGGAUGGAACACAUAAUUGAAGGGCUAGAUGGAGUGCAAGCCUACGUUGAUGACAUCAUCAAAAGGAUUGAAAGUCCUGAAGGAUGGAUUACCAGAGCCACUGUUCUUCAAGAGGUUGCUCCACAGUCCUACACGGUGAGAACCAAAGAAGGAUAAAUCAUCAGACGAAAUUGGCACAGUCUACUGAAGACACCAGGAACUGUUGCAGAUCCUUCCAGGGCGCAGGCUUUAAGCGGCUCCUUGUCCACAGGCUGUCGGAGGCGGGUCACCGUUCGGUUCUCGCAGCCCUCCAGCCUAAGACGAAGGUCUUUGAUCUGUGACAGGUACUGCCAGGACAACAGGCUCUUCAUGUCCACGAACAUCGUCUGCCACAUCGUCUGCAGCCUCUGGAGGUUUCCAUCCAGUCUGAGGAGGAUCGAGUGGAGAUCAGAAACCGUGAAUCUGGAUUUUAACUAACCUACUGUAAGACACUCGGGGGCAACUCGUAACUUACCCGGCAACACUGUUCACA
This is a long non-coding RNA of Scatophagus argus, 793 nucleotides long. RefSeq lists it as uncharacterized. NCBI's taxonomy places the organism in Eukaryota, Metazoa, Chordata, Actinopteri, Scatophagidae. The transcript has 4 exons. The record is from RefSeq and is a predicted model, not a curated record.